RNAcentral lists this ribosomal RNA (253 nucleotides) under uncultured bacterium. RNAcentral describes it as "partial 16S ribosomal RNA". It matches the Rfam family "Bacterial small subunit ribosomal RNA", at positions 524 to 776 of the family's 1533-position model. The record is from RNAcentral.
UACGUAGGGUGCAAGCGUUAAUCGGAAUUACUGGGCGUAAAGCGUGCGCAGGCGGUUUUGUAAGUUUGUCGUGAAAGCCCCGGGCUCAACCUGGGAAUUGCGAUGAAGACUGCAAGGCUUGAAUCUGGCAGAGGGGGGUAGAAUUCCACGUGUAGCAGUGAAAUGCGUAGAGAUGAUGGAGGAACACCGAUGGCGAAGGCAGCCCCCUGGGUCAAGAUUGCGCUCAUGCACGAAAGCGUGGGGAGCAAACAGG